Xylaria bambusicola is the source of this 82-nucleotide non-coding RNA. NCBI's taxonomy places the organism in Eukaryota, Fungi, Ascomycota, Sordariomycetes, Xylariales, Xylariaceae. The record is from the annotation of a RefSeq genome assembly.
UCCGAAUUGGUGUAGUGGUUAACAUCUGACGUUUUCACUUGCGAAAUCCGUCGAGCCCGGGGUUCGAUUCCCCGAUUCGGAG